UACGUAGGGGGCGAGCGUUGUCCGGAAUCAUUGGGCGUAAAGCGCGCGUAGGCGGCCCGGUAAGUCCGCUGUGAAAGUCCAGGGCUCAACCCUGGGAUGCCGGUGGAUACUGGCGGGCUCGAGUCCGGAAGAGGCGAGUGGAAUUCCUGGUGUAGCGGUGGAAUGCGCAGAUAUCAGGAGGAACACCAAUGGCGAAGGCAGCACUCUGGGACGUGACUGACGCUGAGACGCGAAAGCGUGGGGAGCAAACAGG
Molecule: ribosomal RNA, 253 nt
Filed under: uncultured bacterium
Lineage: Bacteria
Description: partial 16S ribosomal RNA
Rfam family: Bacterial small subunit ribosomal RNA
Source: RNAcentral